Molecule: ribosomal RNA, 154 nt
Filed under: Pseudoalteromonas tetraodonis
Lineage: Bacteria; Pseudomonadati; Pseudomonadota; Gammaproteobacteria; Alteromonadales; Pseudoalteromonadaceae
Description: partial 23S ribosomal RNA
Rfam family: Bacterial large subunit ribosomal RNA (bases 1-136)
Source: RNAcentral
GGCCUCGAGAUGAGUUCUCACUAGACUUUUAAAGUCUCUGAAGGGCCGUUGAAGACUACAACGUUGAUAGGCAAGAUGUGGAAGUGGUGUGAGCCAUUAAGCUAACUUGUACUAAUUACCCGUGAGGCUUAACCAUACAACGCCAAACGCGUUU